Molecule: non-coding RNA, 133 nt
Organism: Arvicanthis niloticus (Nile rat)
Lineage: Eukaryota; Metazoa; Chordata; Mammalia; Rodentia; Muridae
Source: RefSeq, a predicted model, not a curated record
ACUGCCUCUAGAUGCAUUGCAGGUAUGGCUGCUUUGUUAAGUGUGUGUCAGUUAAGUGGCAGAGAGGAGACAGGCUGUCUGUACACUCAGUGUUCUGACCUGUGAACAUCUGAAUUAUUAGUAGCCCUACACU